RNAcentral lists this ribosomal RNA (894 nucleotides) under Salmonella enterica. RNAcentral's name for it is "partial 23S ribosomal RNA". It matches the Rfam family "Bacterial large subunit ribosomal RNA", at positions 1918 to 2811 of the family's 2925-position model. The record is from RNAcentral. Lineage: Bacteria; Pseudomonadati; Pseudomonadota; Gammaproteobacteria; Enterobacterales; Enterobacteriaceae. RNAcentral also lists the same sequence under 7 other names.
CCCCGGUAAACGGCGGCCGUAACUAUAACGGUCCUAAGGUAGCGAAAUUCCUUGUCGGGUAAGUUCCGACCUGCACGAAUGGCGUAAUGAUGGCCAGGCUGUCUCCACCCGAGACUCAGUGAAAUUGAACUCGCUGUGAAGAUGCAGUGUACCCGCGGCAAGACGGAAAGACCCCGUGAACCUUUACUAUAGCUUGACACUGAACAUUGAGCCUUGAUGUGUAGGAUAGGUGGGAGGCUUUGAAGUGUGGACGCCAGUCUGCAUGGAGCCGACCUUGAAAUACCACCCUUUAAUGUUUGAUGUUCUAACGUGGACCCGUAAUCCGGGUUGCGGACAGUGUCUGGUGGGUAGUUUGACUGGGGCGGUCUCCUCCUAAAGAGUAACGGAGGAGCACGAAGGUUGGCUAAUCCUGGUCGGACAUCAGGAGGUUAGUGCAAUGGCAUAAGCCAGCUUGACUGCGAGCGUGACGGCGCGAGCAGGUGCGAAAGCAGGUCAUAGUGAUCCGGUGGUUCUGAAUGGAAGGGCCAUCGCUCAACGGAUAAAAGGUACUCCGGGGAUAACAGGCUGAUACCGCCCAAGAGUUCAUAUCGACGGCGGUGUUUGGCACCUCGAUGUCGGCUCAUCACAUCCUGGGGCUGAAGUAGGUCCCAAGGGUAUGGCUGUUCGCCAUUUAAAGUGGUACGCGAGCUGGGUUUAGAACGUCGUGAGACAGUUCGGUCCCUAUCUGCCGUGGGCGCUGGAGAACUGAGGGGGGCUGCUCCUAGUACGAGAGGACCGGAGUGGACGCAUCACUGGUGUUCGGGUUGUCAUGCCAAUGGCACUGCCCGGUAGCUAAAUGCGGAAGAGAUAAGUGCUGAAAGCAUCUAAGCACGAAACUUGCCCCGAGAUGAGUUC